GUUUGACCUCGGAUCAGGUAGGAAUACCCGCUGAACUUAAGC
RNAcentral lists this ribosomal RNA (42 nucleotides) under Paraeutypella vitis. RNAcentral's name for it is "Eutypella vitis partial 28S ribosomal RNA". Lineage: Eukaryota; Fungi; Ascomycota; Sordariomycetes; Xylariales; Diatrypaceae. The record is from RNAcentral. RNAcentral also lists the same sequence under 1 other name.